AAGGUUAUGCUGAGUGUUUGUUGGGAUUGGAAAGGAAUCAUUCACUGUGAGGUGCCCCAGCCUGAUCGAAGAUUGAUACUACAUUUUACCGUCAACAACUGAUGAGAUUGAAGUUCGAUAGCGUACAGAAAUUUUUAAGGCUACUCAGAACUUCUCUUUCAAACUUAAAGGUUGAGCAGAUCAUUAUAAGAUAUCGCUUUCCAGAGUCUCAAAAAACACACAAAUUCGGUAUAAAAGAGAGCGCUUUGUCUGACUCAGUCUUUUAAAAGUCCUAAACGGCUAUUACACAUCAAUAGAAGUGAGGUUAGCUACAAGUUCACUUCCCUCAUCCAUCUGAACCAAGCUUUGUUCACUGGCGGCCGUUUGUCUACACCCUAAACUCAAUAAUAACCACAACAACUUCAUCAAUGCAGAACACAAAAUUUACGAUCAUUAUCGGUAUAUUGGAUGGCAAUCAAUCAAAUCGUAAAAAUGCGUGAACGCCUUAUAAAAAUAUUUGUGCUCGAAAAUAACUACAAAACCACCAAAUAAAACUGAGCAGUCCCCACAGAGAGGAUCACGCGAGUGAAUGUAGUUGAAAGCCAAAGCAGAAUGCUUAAAUCCAAUAACAACAAUUCAGGGUAAUAACAGUUGCUGUCGAAAGUCAAUAGAGCACGAUAAGCGACAGAGGCAGCGUGGAGAGAGAGACGCGGGAGGAGGCCGCCGAGUAACGACGGUGGCCAAAAACCAGUAGUCAAACAAGCAUUUAUCCGAAUCAAAUGCUGGAAGAACAGGGUAAUAUGACCUUAUCAUGCGGCCGAGUGCAGUUGAUCAGCAAAUAGUAGCAACAAUAAAAACAAUAAACGAGUGUAACGUUGGUGGAGCAGCGGUCGACAGCGGCAAUUUUUGGGAGCAGUUGAUGGGGGGUUGCUCAAAAGUCAUCAAAGGUUAGAUAGUUACUGCAUGCGGGCAAGUAUUUGCCUUGACAGCUUGAGCAAAUAGAAAAUAAUAAAAAUAAAUGACAAAUAUAAAUAUAAAGAUAAAUAAUAAAUCGGAAAACCCAAAUCGGCAGCAAAAAACUUGACGAAAUCUGAUAAACCCCAUACCGGUGAUAUGCCGCGCUAAGGCAACGUCAUAGUAUUCAAUAAGCAUUGUAUUCCUCCGCGGUAUACACGCUCGUUCCUCACUCGUGCGUUCGUCAUUUGAUCAGAUGCCAAGCAGCGAGUUCUGGUCAAGUGAUAAGCGCAGUCUUCGUUUAUUGUUCUCCAGCUUAUCACACGCAUAUUGACAGCGUUCCCGAUUGCUCGCAUACGCACACACCGGCGUGCGAUUGAAUGCGAGCGGAGGGUCAAUAGGAAACCGUUGGAUUGAAAAUAACAAAAAGUGAACUAAGGCCAGGGUUGUGCGCUGGGUUUGAGACCCGCCACGUAAAAACACCCCAAAUAAAAAGUAGAAAAGAACUUCGGAUGAGAGACCCCCCUGCUUCCCAUGCCCCCUCCCCAUGCUUCCACAGCAAUAGUGGUAGUAGGGUAUACAGUAGAGAAUCGUAAUACCUUUUAGGAAACUCGCUUGAAAGAACGUCUCCUCUUUUAAGAUGAAAUUUCCUACAGGAAAAUAGUAAUGCUUACUGAGAGUGGCGGUCGAAAGACUAUUGAUAACCUCAUCAGCGAUAAGCAAUGACACACCCGUUCCCAGGACAGUCGGGUCUACGUAAUCGGAACGCACCCGGAUUUUUUAUCCGAUCAAGGACUGUCAAAUCGGCAGAAUUCUCCGCUACAACAAGUUGUUCGACUCACUUUCCAACAGGGACCAUUUUCCUAACACACGCACAACUCCGUAUUCGUUUACCGAACAUGUUGAUAACACCUAAAAAUGCUAUUGCUAUGACUCCAAAGUUGUUGUUGUAGCUUUGACUCACUAUCAGUUGCACAAAUCAAAUAUUGAUAACUACACAUCGCCACCAAAAUGCCAACCAACAACAUACCUAUAACUGGGUAAUGGUAAAUGUAAACAAGACGCCCGAGGCCGGCUACCGAGACCACCACCAAGGCAAAUAGCACAGAACCACACCACACAACUGCAGAGGAAACAACAACAACAGCAUGGAUGGUAGCGAGAUAUCAGCUCACUGGUUGUAGGUGAAAUCGUCAAAGGUGACAGAUAGACGACCGCGAUUGAAUGCUGAUCGGUGUCCCGGUCGCAUAGUGGGCCGUACGAGGGGCUCGGUAAAAGGUAGUGUAUGCGGUGUGCGCACGCUUAUCAGCAGCACGUAUCGGUGAGAUAUGGGCGCAUACAGGCAAGCCAGCUGGAGCUCAUGGACGGACGUUAGUUGGUGUACACGUAUGUGUUUCUAUGUGUGUAUGUGUGACUUGCGCCGUUUAUGGCACUACGUUCGCCGUUUAAUAGCACACAUUUCGACUGGUAUCGACGAUUGUGGGGGCUUUCGAGUAGUGGAAAAUCGUUGCGCCCCCACUUCAAACGCGACCACAAACGCUAAAGCAAGCACCACGGGCAGCGCAGAAGAGAUCAACUAGGUUCUGCGCCAACUCAAAAUUCGAAAUUCGGGAUCGAAGUUCAGAAAUCGCGGAGCGCGUGAGCAAUCGGCGCGGGUGUGGAACUAAAUUGAUAUAAAACUCAAACUUUCGUUAUAAAAUGUUAAUCAAACAAUUAAAAAAGUGAAAAAAUCUAGAGAAAAAGUGAAAUAUUAAUAAAGCAAUACCAAAAUAAUUUCGACUCUAAUCUUAAAAAAUAUAUAUAAAAAAUAUCAAAUUUAAAAUUAAAAUCAUUUUAAAAAUUAAAAUAAAAAAAAAA
Molecule: long non-coding RNA, 2790 nt
Organism: Bactrocera dorsalis (oriental fruit fly)
Lineage: Eukaryota; Metazoa; Arthropoda; Insecta; Diptera; Tephritidae
Exons: 2
Source: RefSeq, a predicted model, not a curated record